Molecule: ribosomal RNA, 253 nt
Filed under: uncultured bacterium
Lineage: Bacteria
Description: partial 16S ribosomal RNA
Rfam family: Bacterial small subunit ribosomal RNA
Source: RNAcentral
UACGUAGGGUGCAAGCGUUGUCCGGAAUUAUUGGGCGUAAAGAGCUCGUAGGCGGUGUGUCGCGUCGGCCGUGAAAACCUGCAGCUUAACUGUGGGCUUGCGGUCGAUACGGGCAUCACUGGAGUUCGGCAGGGGAGACUGGAAUUCCUGGUGUAGCGGUGAAAUGCGCAGAUAUCAGGAGGAACACCGGUGGCGAAGGCGGGUCUCUGGGCCAUUACUGACGUGAGGAGCGAAAGCGUGGGGAGCGAACAGG